This 253-nucleotide ribosomal RNA is filed under the name uncultured bacterium. RNAcentral's name for it is "partial 16S ribosomal RNA". It matches the Rfam family "Bacterial small subunit ribosomal RNA", at positions 524 to 776 of the family's 1533-position model. The record is from RNAcentral.
UACGUAGGGUGCAAGCGUUAUCCGGAAUUACUGGGCGUAAAGCGAGUGUAGGCGGUUGCCCAAGUCAGGUGUGAAAGCCUUGAGCUCAACUCAAGAAAUGCACUUGGUACUGGGUGGCUAGAGGACCGGAGAGGAUAGUGGAAUUCCCAGUGUAGUGGUGAAAUACGUAGAGAUUGGGAAGAACACCAGUGGCGAAGGCGGCUAUCUGGACGGUUACUGACGCUAAGACUCGAAAGCGUGGGGAGCAAACAGG